GUUCAUAAAGUCAGAUGUGAAAGCCCGGGGCUCAACCUCGGAACUGCAUUUGAAACUGGUGAACUAGAGUACUGUAGAGGGGGGGUAGAAUUUCAGGUGUAGCGGUGAAAUGCGUAGAGAUCUGAAGGAAUACCAGUGGCGAAGGCGGCCCCCUGGACAGAUACUGACACUCAGAUGCGAAAGCGUGGGGGAGCAAACAGGAUUAGAUACCCUGGUAGUCCACGCCGUAAACGAUGUCUACUUGGAGGUUGUGGCCUUGAGCCGUGGCUUUCGGAGCUAACGCGUUAAGUAGACCGCCUGGGGAGUACGGUCGCAAGAUUAAAACUCAAAUGAAUUGACGGGGGCCCGCACAAGCGGUGGAGCAUGUGGUUUAAUUCGAUGCAACGCGAAGAACCUUACCUACUCUUGACAUCCAGAGAAGCCAGCGGAGACGCAGGUGUGCCUUCGGGAGCUCUGAGACAGGUGCUGCAUGGCUGUCGUCAGCUCGUGUUGUGAAAUGUUGGGUUAAGUCCCGCAACGAGCGCAACCCUUAUCCUUGUUUGCCAGCGAGUAAUGUCGGGAACUCCAGGGAGACUGCCGGUGAUAAACCGGAGGAAGGUGGGGACGACGUCAAGUCAUCAUGGCCCUUACGAGUAGGGCUACACACGUGCUACAAUGGCGCAUACAGAGGGCGGCGAACUUGCGAGAGUGAUCGAAGGGCAAAAAGUGCGUCGUAGUCCGGAUUGGAGUCUGCAACUCGCCUCCAUGAAGUCGGAAUCGCUAGUAAUC
Molecule: ribosomal RNA, 768 nt
Filed under: uncultured bacterium
Lineage: Bacteria
Description: bacterial SSU rRNA
Rfam family: Bacterial small subunit ribosomal RNA
Source: RNAcentral